Molecule: ribosomal RNA, 1041 nt
Filed under: Triticum aestivum (bread wheat)
Lineage: Eukaryota; Viridiplantae; Streptophyta; Magnoliopsida; Poales; Poaceae
Description: partial small subunit ribosomal RNA
Source: RNAcentral
AUGGCGAUAAGCAUCGACGUCUCUACGCUGCUCGACGGGAACGACUCCGGCGAGAACAAGCCGCCCAACCCAUCCGAUAUGUCCAGCAGCUUCGUGUUCCUCCCCAGCCGGGCGGUGAAGAACAUGAUGCGGCGAUGGAACUACAGGGAAGGCUCAGGUCUCGGCGCGCAGGGGCAAGGGAUCGUCGUGCCUAUACAAGCCGCCGUGCGGGUGCGGCGGCGUCCAAAGGCCGGCCUCGGCUACCGUGAGAAACCAUACGACAAUGGUCUCCACGUGCCGCCGGAGCCGCCCGUGGAGGAGGAGUGCCGUGAGUGGGAGGGUAUUGCACGGGCUAUGCGGCUCGAAACGGAGUGCUGCGAGACGAUCCUCGCACUCCUGCAUGACAUGAGGCUUCAAGGGGACGACAGCGUGGAGACGACGGAUGCGCUCAAGGCCAUGGCCGAGUCCAAGAACGGGCUCCAUGGGAAGCGCGUGCUGGGGACGUGGAAAGCCAGGCUGCCUUCUUCCACCGCACGCUACAUAAUCGAGCAGGUGGUCACGCCGAGGAUGGCCGUCGACGUGCGAGAGUGGAAGUCGUCAUGGGAUCCGGACUGUCACGACUGGCUACGCCCGUUCAUUCCCCUCAUCGGCCACUUACCCGAGAGCCUCUACGGUACCCGUGGAGAGCAAGAUCAGGAACGCAAGCGUCACAUCCUGCCAAUGCUAACACGGUUAGUACGGGAGAUGAGGAUCACGCCGCCCAAGCAAACCGACCCUUCAUUCCGGACCGUGAUGUUGUGGGCGCCUCUCUUGCGCGCUCAAGACGUGGUGUCGAUCCUAGAAGCAGAGCAGUUCUUUGACAAAUGGGAAGGCGCGCUACAACACUGGCUGCAAGCCGCGAAGCCCUCGUUGGGGGAGGCCACCGCAUGGUGCACCGGCUGGAAGACGCUCUUCACACCUGAGCUGCUCGCCGACGAAAGUGUGCUCGCGCAUCUUGAAGCUGGCCUUGAUAUGGUCGAUCCUGCAAUGCAAGACCUCGACAGUCUUUUUAGUAAUUUGUAG